RNAcentral lists this ribosomal RNA (253 nucleotides) under uncultured bacterium. RNAcentral describes it as "partial 16S ribosomal RNA". It matches the Rfam family "Bacterial small subunit ribosomal RNA", at positions 524 to 776 of the family's 1533-position model. The record is from RNAcentral.
UACAGAGGGUGCAAGCGUUAAUCGGAAUUACUGGGCGUAAAGCGUGCGCAGGCGGUUAUGUAAGACAGGUGUGAAAUCCCCGGGCUUAACCUGGGAACUGCAUUUGUGACUGCAUAGCUAGAGUACGGUAGAGGGGGAUGGAAUUCCGCGUGUAGCAGUGAAAUGCGUAGAUAUGCGGAGGAACACCGAUGGCGAAGGCAAUCCCCUGGACCUGUACUGACGCUCAUGCACGAAAGCGUGGGGAGCAAACAGG